RNAcentral lists this transfer RNA (66 nucleotides) under Coptis deltoidea. RNAcentral's name for it is "tRNA-Phe". Lineage: Eukaryota; Viridiplantae; Streptophyta; Magnoliopsida; Ranunculales; Ranunculaceae. The record is from RNAcentral.
GUCACGAUCGACUAACGGAGAAGUCACCCGAAAGGGGCAAUAUUGGUUCAAAUCCAAUUCGUGAGA